Molecule: transfer RNA, 72 nt
Filed under: Camelus bactrianus (Bactrian camel)
Lineage: Eukaryota; Metazoa; Chordata; Mammalia; Artiodactyla; Camelidae
Also listed under: 3 other names
Rfam family: tRNA
About the family: Transfer RNA (tRNA) molecules are approximately 80 nucleotides in length. Their secondary structure includes four short double-helical elements and three loops (D, anti-codon, and T loops).
Source: Rfam by way of RNAcentral
AAGGGUAUAGUUCAGUGGUAGAGUGUGUGCUUAGCAUGCAGAAGGUCCUGGGUUCAAUCCCCAGUACCUCCA